This 488-nucleotide ribosomal RNA is filed under the name uncultured bacterium. Its description in RNAcentral is "bacterial SSU rRNA". It matches the Rfam family "Bacterial small subunit ribosomal RNA", at positions 30 to 506 of the family's 1533-position model. The record is from RNAcentral.
AUUGAACGCUGGCGGAAUGCUUUACACAUGCAAGUCGAACGGCAGCACAGGGAGCUUGCUCCUGGGUGGCGAGUGGCGAACGGGUGAGUAAUGUAUCGGAACGUGCCCAGUAGUGGGGGAUAACUACUCGAAAGAGUGGCUAAUACCGCAUGAGAUCUCUGGAUGAAAGUGGGGGACCGCAAGGCCUCACGCUACUGGAGCGGCCGAUAUCAGAUUAGGUUGUUGGUGGGGUAAAGGCCUACCAAGCCUGCGAUCUGUAGCUGGUCUGAGAGGACGACCAGCCACACUGGGACUGAGACACGGCCCAGACUCCUACGGGAGGCAGCAGUGGGGAAUCUUGCGCAAUGGGAGCAAUCCUGACGCAGCAACGCCGCGUGGGUGAUGAAGGUCUUCGGAUCGUAAAGCCCUGUCGGAGGGGAAGAUGCUUGGAACGUCUAAUAGAUGAGCCAGGUGACGGUACCCUUAAAGGAAGCACCGGCUAACUCUGU